RNAcentral lists this ribosomal RNA (497 nucleotides) under uncultured bacterium. RNAcentral describes it as "partial 16S ribosomal RNA". It matches the Rfam family "Bacterial small subunit ribosomal RNA", at positions 28 to 507 of the family's 1533-position model. The record is from RNAcentral.
GACGAACGCUGGCGGCGUGCCUAAUACAUGCAAGUUGAGCGCUGAAGGUUGGUACUUGUACCAACUGGAUGAGCAGCAAACGGGUGAGUAACGCGUGGGGAAUCUGCCUUUGAGCGGGGGACAACAUUUGGAAACGAAUGCUAAUACCGCAUAAAAACUUUAAACACAAGUUUUAAGUUUGAAAGAUGCAAUUGCAUCACUCAAAGAUGAUCCCGCGUUGUAUUAGCUAGUUGGUGAGGUAAAGGCUCACCAAGGCGAUGAUACAUAGCCGACCUGAGAGGGUGAUCGGCCGCAUUGGGACGGAGACACGGCCCAAACUCCUACGGGAGGCAGCAGUAGGGAAUCUUCGGCAAUGGACGAAAGUCUGACCGAGCAACGCCGCGUGAGUGAAGAAGGGUUUCGGAUCGUAAAACUCUGUUGGUAGAGAAGAACGUUGGUGAGAGUGGAAAGCUCAUCAAGUGACGGUAACUACCCAGAAAGGGACGGCUAACUACGUG